CCUACGGGGGGCAGCAGUGAGGAAUAUUUGUCAAUGGACGAGAGUCUGAACCAGCCAAGUAGCGUGAAGGAUGACUGCCCUAUGGGUUGUAAACUUCUUUUAUAUGGGAAUAAAACGUUCCACGUGUGGGAUUUUGUAUGUACCAUAUGAAUAAGGAUCGGCUAACUCCGUGCCAGCAGCCGCGGUAAUACGGAGGAUCCGAGCGUUAUCCGGAUUUAUUGGGUUUAAAGGGAGCGUAGGUGGAUUGUUAAGUCAGUUGUGAAAGUUUGCGGCUCAACCGUAAAAUUGCAGGUGAAACUGGCAGUCUUGAGUACAGUAGAGGUAGGCGGAAUUCGUGGUGUAGCGGUGAAAUGCUUAGAUAUCACGAAGAACUCCGAUUGCGAAGGCAGUUCACUGGACUGCAACUGACACUGAGGCUCGAAAGUGUGGGUAUCAAACAGGAUUAGAUACCCGGGUAGUC
This 460-nucleotide ribosomal RNA is filed under the name uncultured bacterium. Its description in RNAcentral is "partial 16S ribosomal RNA". It matches the Rfam family "Bacterial small subunit ribosomal RNA", at positions 338 to 795 of the family's 1533-position model. The record is from RNAcentral.